This 1122-nucleotide long non-coding RNA is filed under the name Homo sapiens (human). RNAcentral describes it as "non-protein coding lnc-BASP1-20:1". The record is from RNAcentral. Lineage: Eukaryota; Metazoa; Chordata; Mammalia; Primates; Hominidae.
AUGGUUUGAUUAUUCACAGUCUCUCACCAAAUGAGACCUGUGUCCAGGGUACUAGCUUCUCCUGUCACUUGGGCUUAUGCUAAAGAUGUGAAAUUUGGUGUAGAAGCCCGAGCCUUAAUGCUUCAAGUUAUAUGACUUUAAGCCUAUGCUCUAGCUGUUACAAUGGAGCCAAAGAGAAGAAUAGUGAUUAUUGAAGAGAGUUGGGGAAGACCUAAAGUAACAAAAGAUGGAGUGAUUGUGGCACACUCAAUUAACUUAGAAGAUAAAUAUGAAAAUAUUGGAGCUAAACCUGUUCAAGAUGUUUCCAAUAACAGAAUUGAAGAGGUUGAGGAUUGCACCACCACUGCUACUGUACUGGCAUGCCCUAUUGUCAAAGAAAGAGAAAAAUUAGCAAAAGUGCUAAUUCAGCGGAAAUCAGGAGACGUAUUAUGUUAGCUAUUGAUUCUGUAAUUGCUGAACUUAAGAAUCAGUCUAAACCAGUGACAACUCUUGAAGAAACUGCUCAAGAUGCUACAAUUUCUGCAAACAGAGAGAAAGAAAUUGGCAACAUAUUUCUUAUACAGUGAAUAAUGCUGGAAGAAAGGGUGUCAUUACAGUAAAUAAUGGAAAAACAUUGAAUGAUGAACUAGAAAUUAUGGAAGGCAUGAAGUUUGAUCAAGGCUAUAUUUCUCCAUACUUUAUUAAUACAUCAAAGGUGUAUUUUACUGUGAAUAAUAGUAUGUGAAUUUCAGUAUGUGUAUGUUCUAUUGAGUGAAAAGGAAAUUUCCAGUGUCCAGUCCAUUAUACCUGGUCUUUAAAUUGCCAGUGGUCAAACCCUUGGUCAUAACUGCUGAAAAUGUUUUGAACAGUAUAAAAGUUGGUCUCUAGGCUGUAACUGUCAAAGCUCCAGGUUUUGGUGACAAUUGAAAGAACAAGCUUAAAGAUAAGACUACUGCUAUUAGUGGUGAAGUGUUUGAACAAGAGGGGUUCACCCUAAAUCUGGAAGUUGUUGAGCCUCAUGACUUAGAAGAAAUUGGAGAGGUCAUUGCGACAGAAGAUGAUGCUAUGCUCUUAAAAGGCAAUUAUGGCAAGGCUCAAAUUGAAAAGUGUAUUCAAGACACUCAGCCAGUUAGAUGUCACAAC